This 390-nucleotide ribosomal RNA is filed under the name uncultured archaeon. RNAcentral describes it as "bacterial SSU rRNA". It matches the Rfam family "Archaeal small subunit ribosomal RNA", at positions 355 to 747 of the family's 1478-position model. The record is from RNAcentral.
AUGUGGGAAACCACGAUGCGGGAAACCCAAGUGCCAGCACUAUGUGUUGGCUGUCCUCAAGUGUUCGUAACUUGGGAAGAAAGUGCUGGGUAAGACGGGUGCCAGCCGCCGCGGUAAUACCCGCAGCACAAGUGGUGGUCAUUAUUAUUGGGCCUAAAGCGUCCGUAGCUGGCCUGUUAGAUGCCUGGGUAAAUCGGUGCGCUCAACGCACCGAACUCCGGGUAGACCGGCAGGCUCGAGACCGGGAGAGGCAUGGGCUACUCGCGGGGUAGGGGUAAAAUCCUGUAAUCCUGCGGGGAGGACCAGUGGCGAAGGCGCCAUGCUAGAACGGCUCUGACAGUGAGGGACGAAGCCCUGGGGCGCAAACCGGAUUAGAUACCCGCGUAGUCC